Molecule: ribosomal RNA, 175 nt
Filed under: uncultured bacterium
Lineage: Bacteria
Description: partial 16S ribosomal RNA
Rfam family: Bacterial small subunit ribosomal RNA
Source: RNAcentral
CCUACGGGAGGCAGCAGUGGGGAAUAUUGCACAAUGGGCGCAAGCCUGAUGCAGCGACGCCGCGUGGGGGAUGACGGCCUUCGGGUUGUAAACUCCUUUCGCUAGGGACGAAGCUUUUUGUGACGGUACCUAGAUAAGAAGCACCGGCCAACUACGUGCCAGCAGCCGCGGUAAU